UACGUAGGGGGCUAGCGUUGUCCGGAAUCACUGGGCGUAAAGGGCGUGUAGGCGGUCAAGUAAGUGGAAUGUGAAAGCCCCCGGCUUACCCGGGGAUCUGCAUCCCAAACUGCUUGGCUUGAGUACGGGAGAGGAUAGGGGAAUUCCUGGUGUAGCGGUGAAAUGCGUAGAUAUCAGGAGGAACACCGGUGGCGAAGGCGCCUAUCUGGCCCGAUACUGACGCUGAGGCGCGAAAGCUAGGGGAGCAAACGGG
This 253-nucleotide ribosomal RNA is filed under the name uncultured bacterium. Its description in RNAcentral is "partial 16S ribosomal RNA". It matches the Rfam family "Bacterial small subunit ribosomal RNA", at positions 524 to 776 of the family's 1533-position model. The record is from RNAcentral.